RNAcentral lists this ribosomal RNA (253 nucleotides) under uncultured bacterium. Its description in RNAcentral is "partial 16S ribosomal RNA". It matches the Rfam family "Bacterial small subunit ribosomal RNA", at positions 524 to 776 of the family's 1533-position model. The record is from RNAcentral.
GACGAACCGUGCGAACGUUGUUCGGAAUCACUGGGCUUAAAGGGCGCGUAGGCGGCUUGUCAAGUCAGGGGUGAAAUCUUUCGGCUUAACCGGAAAAGUGCCCUUGAUACUGACAGGCUCGAGGGAGGUAGGGGCAUGUGGAACUUCUGGUGGAGCGGUGAAAUGCGUUGAUAUCAGAAGGAACGCCGGUGGCGAAAGCGACGUGCUGGACCUCUUCUGACGCUGAGGCGCGAAAGCUAGGGGAGCAAACGGG